UACAGAGGGUGCAAGCGUUAAUCGGAAUUACUGGGCGUAAAGCGCGCGUAGGUGGUUUGAUAAGUAGGCUGUGAAAUCCCCGGGCUCAACCUGGGAACUGCAGUCUAAACUGUCUGACUAGAGAUCGGUAGAGGGGGAUGGAAUUUCUGGUGUAGCGGUGAAAUGCGUAGAGAUCAGAAAGAACAUCAGUGGCGAAGGCGAUCCCCUGGACUAAAUCUGACACUGAAGUGCGAAAGCGUGGGGAGCAAACAGGAUUAGAUACCCCAGUAGU
This 271-nucleotide ribosomal RNA is filed under the name uncultured bacterium. RNAcentral's name for it is "partial 16S ribosomal RNA". It matches the Rfam family "Bacterial small subunit ribosomal RNA", at positions 524 to 794 of the family's 1533-position model. The record is from RNAcentral.